CCGCGUGUGUGAUGAAGGUCUUAGGGUUGUAAAGCACUUUCAGUAGGGAGGAAAAGUUCAAGGUUAAUAACCUUGGGCCCUGACGUUACCUACAGAAGAAGCACCGGCUAACUCCGUGCCAGCAGCCGCGGUAAUACGGAGGGUGCAAGCGUUAAUCGGAAUUACUGGGCGUAAAGCGCGCGUAGGCGGUUAAUUAAGUCAGAUGUGAAAGCCCCGGGCUCAACCUGGGAACUGCAUUUGAAACUGGUUAACUAGAGUAUGGUAGAGGAGAGUGGAAUUUCAGGUGUAGCGGUGAAAUGCGUAGAGAUCUGAAGGAACACCAGUGGCGAAGGCGGCUCUCUGGACCAAUACUGACGCUGAGGUGCGAAAGCGUGGGUAGCAAACGGGAUUAGAUACCCCGGUAGUCCACGCCGUAAACGAUGUCAACUAACUGUUGGGCGGGUUACCGCUUAGUGGUGCAGCUAACGCAAUAAGUUGACCGCCUGGGGAGUACGGCCGCAAGGCUAAAACUCAAAUGAAUUGACGGGGGCCCGCACAAGCGGUGGAGCAUGUGGUUUAAUUCGAUGCAACGCGAAGAACCUUACCUACCCUUGACAUACAGAGAACUUUCCAGAGAUGGAUCGGUGCCUUCGGGAGCUCUGAUACAGGUGCUGCAUGGCUGUCGUCAGCUCGUGUCGUGAGAUGUUGGGUUAAGUCCCGUAACGAGCGCAACCCUUAUCCUUAGUUGCUACCAUUUAGUUGGGCACUCUAAGAGACUGCCGGUGAUAAACCGGAGGAGUGGGGGACGACGUCAGUCAUCAUGGCCCUUAUGGGUAGGGCUACACACGUGCUACAUGGCCGGUACAGAGGGCUGCAAACUCGCGAGAGUAAGCGAAUCCCUUAAAGCCGGUCCUAGUCCGGAUUGCAGUCUGCGACUCGACUGCAU
This 925-nucleotide ribosomal RNA is filed under the name uncultured bacterium. RNAcentral describes it as "bacterial SSU rRNA". It matches the Rfam family "Bacterial small subunit ribosomal RNA", at positions 397 to 1321 of the family's 1533-position model. The record is from RNAcentral.